AUUUAUGUAGAUGCAUGAAGAGUCGCAAGGACUUUUGCGAACGUGCCGCAAUGAAUGCAGAGGAACUAAACAACAAAUUAGCAAUAAACUAUUAUCAGCGAUAAUAUUCAAUAGUUUAAGUACAUUUUUUAAUAUUUAAAGAGUAUAUAAAUAAACCUAUUCCUAAUUAACGACAAUUAAGUCUAAGCCGUUCAUUUGGAUUGAUGUCUGUUAAUUAAAAUUCACAUUCAGUGUAACAAUGAGUUAUUGCCGGUUUUUUUUAAUUACUGCCGUGAUUACGAUUUGUUUUCAUAGUGCCAAUAGUUUUGGAUACUGUUGUGAAGAUUGUGACGACAAUCCCAGUGAUUUCUUCUUGCAAGCAUUCUGUGACUUAUUUUGUGAAGAUGAUAGCGAAGAAUCUAUGACAACUAUGAAAAUGGAGACCACCACAGCGGCUACAACAACCACAACGACUGCAGCGCCCGCAGCGGGUGGAAACGGUGGCGGUGGCGGCGAUGAUGCAUCUACAACCACUGCUGCACCAGCGAAGAAAAGAAAGUAAAAACGAUAUUAUAGAUAUGUCUAAUGGAGAUUUUGAAUUUUCAUUGUUUCCAUGAUUAUAUAAUAUUAUCCAAUUUAUAAAUACACAAAGUUAGUGUAAAUUGCAUAUUAUACGAAAAAUUCAAAGAACCGACAUUAAUUUUAGCAAAUUUACUAGAGUCACUUAACAAUUCUUAUCAAUAAAAGGAAUAUUAUAAUUU
Long non-coding RNA from Dalotia coriaria, 740 nucleotides. RefSeq lists it as uncharacterized. The record is from RefSeq and is a predicted model, not a curated record. Lineage: Eukaryota; Metazoa; Arthropoda; Insecta; Coleoptera; Staphylinidae. The transcript has 2 exons.